This is a long non-coding RNA of Apis dorsata (giant honeybee), 1884 nucleotides long. RefSeq lists it as uncharacterized. The record is from RefSeq and is a predicted model, not a curated record. The transcript has 2 exons. NCBI's taxonomy places the organism in Eukaryota, Metazoa, Arthropoda, Insecta, Hymenoptera, Apidae.
CGCUGAGGACUUUUUGUAAUCAAUAAUAAAGGCGAAGCAAUGUGCAUUAUGACUUUCAAAUUUAUUUUUUAUCCGGUUACGAUCGUUUUUUCAUAUUUUUUAAUGAAUUUUAGAUGGCAAUGUCUCUUAUUUAAGCCUGCCGGAUGUUACUUAUAUUUAAGAGUAUAUCGAUAAGCAUCUAAUUUACAAACUGUAGGCUGUAUUCUGAUAUGUAAUAAAGUUGUCUAGAAAAUAAUCCUCUCGUUUUCUAUUCUUUUCUAGAAAAAAAAAUCGCCUUUGCGUUCAAAUAUAAAUAUCUUUUAUCGUGAAUAGAAGACAAGUUGUUCAUUGAAAAUUACUAAAUAAAUAAAAUAGAACGAAAUAAAAGAAAUUAAAAAAUAUAACAAGGAGACGAUAAAUUUCGAAUCAAAUAAAUUUUGAUAACCAAAUAAAUUGAAAUAAGGAGAAUUAAUUAUUGGCAGAUUGAUCGAUGAAUACUCGAGAUACCGAAUUUCUUUGCCGACAGACCAUCCGGAUCGCAAGGACGUUACCUUGACUGGUUUCCAUUCGAUCCGGUUUUAAUCAUCCUUCGAUGGAAACCGUAAGUGAAUCGACAAGAAAGAAAGGAUCGAAUGGUCAGACAUGAUUGCACUCGGUAUGCGUGACGCUGCGGUAAAAUAUCGAAAGACGAUGCUGAAAAAUAAUGGAAAAAUAUAUAUCAUAUCUUAUCACUUAUAGAUCUAUCGUACGGAAAAAAAUAAAUAUCUAUAUCCAUUGAAUCAUAAUUUAAUAAAAAUACAAAAUGCUCGAUAUACUCGUAAAGUAAAAAGAAAAGGAAAAAACAGCAUUCUCUUGAAUCAAAUUCCAGUAGUAUCAUCAAGAUUUUCUACGUAGAUUGCAUUGUUCCAGUAUUUAUGCUUACUCAACAAAUACCCAAAGUCUAACGAAAUACGAAUCGUGUUAAAAAAGAAUCAUCGAAAGAAAGAAAUAUAAUUUUGUGUGAAUAUUUAUUUCAUCUGCCUCUAUCCCUUUCGAAAAUGAUUUUCGAAAAAAAAAAAAUGAAUAAAGAUUAAAGGAUUAUGCGAUCUUUUUAAAAAAUAUCUUGAAAAAAAUUGCAUGUAAUCAUACGUGUGAUAUUUGUUUUCUCGGAUAAAAGCGGGAACUAAUAGAAAUAAAAUAGCGGUUUCGUCGGGAAAAUUGCACGGUGAGCCGCGCAAAGUUACGCUCGUCAAAUUAACGAGUACAUAUUCCUGAAACACGCGAGGGGAGGUCUUUGCACUUAACACUGGUUCGCGUGCGGCUAACGUGUGCACGCAACGCGUGUUGUUCGCACACGUACUUACACACGAGCCAAGAUGCACUCUCAGGUAAUGGCAUAGAUGGCCUCGACCUUGGUGCAUCGCUCGACUGCACUGUGUAUCGUCCCACGCAGUGGCGUAACAUCCAGCAAUGCUUUUCUCACGGGCCACUGAAUGUCCUUAGAAUACAGUGGAGAUGCAAGUAAAGCGAUGCACGAUCACGAUGUACGAUGUAUAAUUUAUAGAAGAAAUAUAUAGGAUGGACGGUUUAACAUCUUAACAAAUAUAUUGAAAAAUCAACUUCUACUUUGGAUAAAGAAAACGUAGAAACGUAAAAUUAUAUAAAUGACAAAAGAAUCUAAAAUAGACAAUCUAAUCAUUGCUUGAUAUUAUUUGCAUAAAUAUAGUAAUUAUGCGCAAUAAUUAUGCAAUAAUAAUCAUAAAAGAAAAUUUAUAUACGUUCGAUUUAUUGCGUAAAGAUACUUAUAUCUUUUGAUGUAUUUUUUUUAUAACAUUUCUUUCGAAAGAAAUUUGUCUUAAAAAUGCAUGGGACAAAUGGAUUCAAUUACGAUUUAUUGAAAAAUAGAAAUAAAAUACACGCAUAAAA